GAUGAACGCUAGCUACAGGCUUAACACAUGCAAGUCGCGGGGCGGCAUGGGGGUUGCUUGCAAUCCCCGAUGGCGACCGGCGCACGGGUGAGUAACGCGUAUCCAACCUGCCCUUCACCACGGGAUAACCCGGCGAAAGUCGGACUAAUACCGUAUGUUGUCCAUUGACGGCAUCCGAUUUGGACGAAAGGCUUGGCGGUGAGGGAUGGGGAUGCGUCCGAUUAGCCAGACGGCGGGGUAACGGCCCACCGUGGCUACGAUCGGUAGGGGUUCUGAGAGGAAGGUCCCCCACACUGGAACUGAGACACGGUCCAGACUCCUACGGGAGGCAGCAGUGAGGAAUAUUGGUCAAUGGGCGUAAGCCUGAACCAGCCAAGUAGCGUGCAGGAUGACGGCCCUAUGGGUUGUAAACUGCUUUUAUGCGGGGAUAAAGUGGCCCACGUGUGGGCUUUUGCAGGUACCGCAUGAAUAAGGACCGGCUAAUUCCGUG
RNAcentral lists this ribosomal RNA (490 nucleotides) under uncultured bacterium. RNAcentral describes it as "partial 16S ribosomal RNA". It matches the Rfam family "Bacterial small subunit ribosomal RNA", at positions 28 to 507 of the family's 1533-position model. The record is from RNAcentral.